CCCGCUCAGAAACUCAAAUGAAUUGACGGGGGCCCGCACAAGCGGUGGAGCAUGUGGUUUAAUCGAUGAUACGCGAGGAACCUUACCUGGGCUCAAAUGUAUGUUGACGUAUUCUGAAAGGGAUACUUCUUCGGACAAUAUACAAGGUGCUGCAUGGUUGUCGUCAGCUCGUGCCGUGAGGUGUCGGGUUAAGUCCCAUAACGAGCGCAACCCCUAUCAUUAGUUGCCAUCAGGUCAAGCUGGGGACUCUAAUGAAACUGCCUACGCAAGUAGUGAGGAAGGUGGGGAUGACGUCAAAUCAGCACGGCCCUUACGUCCAGGGCUACACACGUGCUACAAUGGCCGGUACAAAGGGCAGCUACCUGGUGACAGGAUGCUAAUCUCAAAAGCCGGUCUCAGUUCGGAUCGGAGUCUGCAACCCGACUCCGUGAAGCUGGAAUCGCUAGUAAUCGUGGAUCAGCAUGCCACGGUGAAUACGUUCCCGGGCCUU
Molecule: ribosomal RNA, 490 nt
Filed under: uncultured Sphingobacteriales bacterium
Lineage: Bacteria; Pseudomonadati; Bacteroidota; Sphingobacteriia; Sphingobacteriales
Description: bacterial SSU rRNA
Rfam family: Bacterial small subunit ribosomal RNA
Source: RNAcentral